GCGCGAGUGGCGGAAUUGGCAGACGCGCACGGUUCAGGUCCGUGUGUCCGAAAGGACGUGGGGGUUCAAGUCCCCCCUCGCGCA
RNAcentral lists this transfer RNA (84 nucleotides) under Nocardioides sp. RNAcentral describes it as "tRNA-Leu". It matches the Rfam family "tRNA". From Rfam's summary of the family: Transfer RNA (tRNA) molecules are approximately 80 nucleotides in length. Their secondary structure includes four short double-helical elements and three loops (D, anti-codon, and T loops). The record is from RNAcentral. Lineage: Bacteria; Bacillati; Actinomycetota; Actinomycetes; Propionibacteriales; Nocardioidaceae.